UCCAGACUCCUACGGGAGGCAGCAGUGGGGGAUAUUGCACAAUGGGGGGAACCCUGAUGCAGCGACGCCGCGUGGGUGAAGGAGCGUUUCGGCGCGUAAAGCCCUAUCGGCAGGGAAGAAGGAGGACGGUACCUGACUAAGAAGCCCCGGCUAACUACGUGCCAGCAGCCGCGGUAAUACGUAGGGGGCAAGCGUUAUCCGGAUUUACUGGGUGUAAAGGGGGCGCAGACGGCAGCGCAAGCCAGGAGUGAAAGCCCGGGGCCCAACCCCGGGACUGCUCUUGGAACUGCGCGGCUGGAGUGCAGGAGGGGCAGGCGGAAUUCCUGGUGUAGCGGUGAAAUGCGUAGAUAUCAGGAGGAACACCGGUGGCGAAGGCGGCCUGCUGGACUGCGACCGACGUUGAGGCCCGAAAGCGUGGGGAGCAAACAGGAUUAGAUACCCUCGUAAA
RNAcentral lists this ribosomal RNA (448 nucleotides) under uncultured bacterium. RNAcentral's name for it is "partial 16S ribosomal RNA". It matches the Rfam family "Bacterial small subunit ribosomal RNA", at positions 330 to 794 of the family's 1533-position model. The record is from RNAcentral.